This 1177-nucleotide long non-coding RNA is filed under the name Equus caballus (horse). RNAcentral's name for it is "lncRNA (ENSECAG00000042314.2)". Lineage: Eukaryota; Metazoa; Chordata; Mammalia; Perissodactyla; Equidae. The record is from RNAcentral.
AGAGAGGGUGUGGAUACAGAAGACUGAUGAGAAACUGUAACUGAGUAUUGAACUCUGGGCAGUAAUGUGGUGAAUUAUAGCCCAAGCCCUUGAAUAAUGGCUGGAAGUCAUCAAGUCUCUCGAUUUUACCAAGUUGUCAUUCACAUGUUAUAUUAGCUGAAAUUAACUGCUGCAUCCCUCUCAGAAGGGGAAAUGGCUCUCCAUGCCAUGUUACUGCCUCCACGGUAUUGAUUUUGUGUGGAUGGGCAGUGAUUCAUGGGACGGCCCCUCACCUGCUUCCCCAUCAAGUUUUUUUUUCCUAGCUCCAGAUUUUCAAGAGUCUUGUAUGAAUUGCACUAGUUUAGCAACAACCCAGCGUGGAAUCUCACUGUAUUUGCAAAUGAUUGCUUUGAAUUUGAGAGAGUGAGAGAAUCACCAGAAAUAAGAUGAAAUAAAUAAGGCAAGGAGGAAGGUGACAUUUGUAAAUUAUGAGGGAUUAGAGGAGACAGUUCUGACUGGAGAUCUCACCCUUUAACUCAGUGGCACCCCUGGGGAAGAAGAGAGGGGAAGCUCAGAUUUGGGAUGCAAAGCAGUCUUCUGCUGACUACCAGUGUUCUUUCAGACAUGGCCCAGCAGCAUCCAUUCCACUCCCCACCACGCCGUGCCCUCAAACUUGGCUGCUGUCGAAGGGUGAUGUUCGUGAGCAUCUUGAAAUUUGGAAGUGUUUUUACAAGAGAGAUGCCUUGACCUUGAACUUUGACUUAGGAAUCAAUAGCCUCAUUCUUGAUGAGGAAACUGAGACAGAGUUUAAGGCACCUGACGGAGGACACACAGCAAGAUGACGACAGAACUAGGCAUUCCGCCUCCAUUGUCCUCAUUUGUCACCUGUGUAAACAGUGCCCUGUGAUUUGGUGUGGCAUGACAGAUGCCUCCAGGCCCAGGUGUCUGGCCCUCCUUCAAGCCUUCUGUUCUCAGGAUGAUGGAGAAGCCGGUUUCUGCCUCCAGGAAGAUGUCAUUUUCCAAUGAACUGAUGAUGGCCCCAAGCCCUAUUAGUUGGCUGGCGCUGUGGAUUUCAAGGUGGCUGUUUAAUGAAUUGUGGGGCCAGUUCACUGCUGGGUCACCACAUCCCCGCUGACCCCUAGCGAUACACUGAUAGACGGGUGUGGGGCUCCCUCCAGCAGCGGGUGCAUUCUGCAGG